AUUGAACGCUGGCGGCAGGCCUAACACAUGCAAGUCGAGCGGAUGAAGGGAGCUUGCUCCUGGAUUCAGCGGCGGACGGGUGAGUAAUGCCUAGGAAUCUGCCUGGUAGUGGGGGAUAACGUCCGGAAACGGGCGCUAAUACCGCAUACGUCCUGAGGGAGAAAGUGGGGGAUCUUCGGACCUCACGCUAUCAGAUGAGCCUAGGUCGGAUUAGCUAGUUGGUGGGGUAAAGGCCUACCAAGGCGACGAUCCGUAACUGGUCUGAGAGGAUGAUCAGUCACACUGGAACUGAGACACGGUCCAGACUCCUACGGGAGGCAGCAGUAGGGAAUAUUGGACAAUGGGCGAAAGCCUGAUCCAGCCAUGCCGCGUGUGUGAAGAAGGUCUUCGGAUUGUAAAGCACUGUAAGUGGGGAGGAAGGGCAGUAAGUUAAUACCUUGCUGUUUUGACGGUACCAACAGAAUAAGCACCGGCUAACUUCGUG
RNAcentral lists this ribosomal RNA (484 nucleotides) under uncultured bacterium. RNAcentral's name for it is "partial 16S ribosomal RNA". It matches the Rfam family "Bacterial small subunit ribosomal RNA", at positions 30 to 507 of the family's 1533-position model. The record is from RNAcentral.